Molecule: transfer RNA, 80 nt
Filed under: Bacillus subtilis
Lineage: Bacteria; Bacillati; Bacillota; Bacilli; Caryophanales; Bacillaceae
Description: tRNA-Thr
Rfam family: tRNA
About the family: Transfer RNA (tRNA) molecules are approximately 80 nucleotides in length. Their secondary structure includes four short double-helical elements and three loops (D, anti-codon, and T loops).
Source: RNAcentral
GCUUAGGUGUAGCUCAAUUGGUAGAGCAACUGACUUGUAAUCAGUAGGUUGGGGGUUCAAGUCCUCUUGCUUAGGCACCA